RNAcentral lists this unclassified non-coding RNA (615 nucleotides) under Hevea brasiliensis (rubber tree). Lineage: Eukaryota; Viridiplantae; Streptophyta; Magnoliopsida; Malpighiales; Euphorbiaceae. The record is from RNAcentral.
UCAUUUUUUUUUUUUGUAAUCAUGCUAAGUAUCCUUGGCAUUUAUCAAUAUAAACAACUGUCAAAAUCUAGAUAUGUGGCAAGAAUAAUUGCUAUGUAAGGCUGAAUAUUGGGAUAAAUAGCCAUUUAUUAGUUUCUGGCAGAAGACUAGGUUUAUUCUUAUUACUUCCAUGAACUACAGUAGGUUGCUUCCUACCCCCAUUUGAAGCAAUUUUAGGCCCACAAGAAAAUGCUUUGAUGGAUUAACCAACUGCAUUGGUCAUCACUAAGUAAUUUUGCUUGAAACUAAUAUAAUUUGUGAAGAUGAUCUAGUCAUGUCAUGCUUUCUCUGUUUAACUUUAGUAGGUGUUUGUUUUAAAUUUUGGAUAUUGGUGGUGUGCCAAUUCUUUUGUAUAGCCAUUUUCACAUUGAAAUUGCAGUCAACUGUAAAAAACUGCAGUAAGUUGCUUGCAAUGCUAACAAACCAUCAUUUGUUUAACAGUAAAUACCAUUUGUAAAUUUGAAACUGUAAAAUUGGGAAACAUAUUAGCCUCCUCCAUUAUUGUCGAAUUUUGAUGUUCAUAACUAUUUCUAGAAGUUGUGGAGAUUCUGGUUCGUUCAAUCUUGGCUUUUGUUC